CCGGCGGUGGGACAAUGCCAGGCGGGGAGUUUGACUGGGGCGGUCGCCUCCGAAAGGGUAUCGGAGGCGCCCAAAGGUUCCCUCAGAAUGGACGGAAACCAUUCGAAGAGUGCAAAGGCAGAAGGGAGCUUGACUGCGACACCGACGGGUGGAGCAGGUACGAAAGUAGGGCUUAGUGAUCCGGUGGUAUUAAGUGGGAAUGCCAUCGCUCAACGGAUAAAAGCUACCCUGGGGAUAACAGGCUUAUCACUCCCAAGAGUUCACAUCGACGGAGUGGUUUGGCACCUCGAUGUCGGCUCAUCGCAUCCUGGGGCUGUAGUAGGUCCCAAGGGUUGGGCUGUUCGCCCAUUAAAGCGGUACGCGAGCUGGGUUCAGAACGUCGUGAGACAGUUCGGUCCCUAUCCGGCGUGGGCGUAGGAUAUCUGAGAGGAGCUGUCCUUAGUACGAGAGGACCGGGAUGGACGGACCGCUGGUGGACCGGUUGGCUUGCCAAAGCCAUGGCCGGGUAGCCAAGUCCGGAAGGGAUAAACGCUGAAGGCAUCUAAGCGUGAAGCCCCCCUCAAGAUGAGAUAUCCCAUUCUUAUGAAGUAAACCCCCUUGAAGACGACGAGGUAGAUAGGGCAGAGGUGGAAGUGUGGUAACACAUGGAGCUGACUGUUACUAAUCGGGUGAGGGCUUGACCAA
Molecule: ribosomal RNA, 684 nt
Filed under: Blautia massiliensis (ex Durand et al. 2017)
Lineage: Bacteria; Bacillati; Bacillota; Clostridia; Lachnospirales; Lachnospiraceae
Description: partial 23S ribosomal RNA
Rfam family: Bacterial large subunit ribosomal RNA
Source: RNAcentral